Molecule: long non-coding RNA, 698 nt
Filed under: Heterocephalus glaber (naked mole-rat)
Lineage: Eukaryota; Metazoa; Chordata; Mammalia; Rodentia; Bathyergidae
Description: lncRNA (ENSHGLG00100043354.1)
Source: RNAcentral
GGAAACAGUGGUAAUACUAUUGUAGCUCACUUUCCAAAGUUCUCACCAAAAUGGCUAUUUGAAUUCAAGCAUGGCAUGAAAACACUUUGUGUUUGUUAUGUGCAUACAUGCACAAAUGUGUGCAUAUUACAUGCACACAUUAGCACAGUGCAGAUUAAGUACCAAAAUAUACCAAAAUAAUGGUUAAUUGCCUUACUUAUAAACUAAUGUUUUUUAAUUUUAAAGGUGAUCAUUUUAUUUUAGAAUCAGGAAAUGAAAAGGAGGUGGUUCUCCUUGCCCAAAAAAGGAAGUGUUUACUUAUAUGAUACCCAUAGGAUCAUCUUCGCGGGUGCGACCAUACCCCAGGGAGGCCACAGUGGAGACCAGGACAGUAAUCAUGGAAGAGCCUGUCCCAAGCCUCUGGAGGCUGCCCACCGGGAGCUCUCUGCUGCUCUCCCCAACAUACUCUCCUCUUGCUUCUCUGAAAUAGAUUUCUUCAAUGAGAAUCCCAGAGGCCACACAUCAGAGAUGAAUGACAGAUUUGAAAUAAAAGAACAAUAACUCAUCACAGCCAAGGAGGUGUAAAAGCACCUGUUUCUGCAGUAUUGGCCCUCAGGGUGUUGUGGAAUUAUAAGGAGGAAGGACCUCUUUCUUGGUAUGCUGGUUCAAUUCUAAAACCUCACCAAGAUGCCUGCUUUUAGCUGGAGCAGACCAGUGCA